UACGUAGGGUCCGAGCGUUGUCCGGAAUUACUGGGCGUAAAGAGCUCGUAGGUGGUUUGUCGCGUUGUUCGUGAAAACUCACAACUCAAUUGUGGGCGUGCGGGCGAUACGGGCAGACUGGAGUACUGCAGGGGAGACUGGAAUUCCUGGUGUAGCGGUGGAAUGCGCAGAUAUCAGGAGGAACACCGGUGGCGAAGGCGGGUCUCUGGGCAGUAACUGACGCUGAGGAGCGAAAGCAUGGGGAGCGAGCAGG
This 253-nucleotide ribosomal RNA is filed under the name uncultured bacterium. Its description in RNAcentral is "partial 16S ribosomal RNA". It matches the Rfam family "Bacterial small subunit ribosomal RNA", at positions 524 to 776 of the family's 1533-position model. The record is from RNAcentral.